Molecule: non-coding RNA, 23 nt
Filed under: Arabidopsis thaliana (thale cress)
Lineage: Eukaryota; Viridiplantae; Streptophyta; Magnoliopsida; Brassicales; Brassicaceae
Source: RNAcentral
ACAGAUUCAUUCGGUUGCGGCUU